Molecule: long non-coding RNA, 569 nt
Organism: Scophthalmus maximus (turbot)
Lineage: Eukaryota; Metazoa; Chordata; Actinopteri; Pleuronectiformes; Scophthalmidae
Exons: 4
Source: RefSeq, a predicted model, not a curated record
AUCCUCAUCUCGGCUGUUAACCCUCCCCUCCCCUCCCCCGGUCUGCAAAGUGCUCGUACCCGACCUGGCCUGUGCUCGCUCACACCAUCCCCGACUUUACUUCCCCUCCUGUCCGGUUGACACAGGUCACGGAGGACCUCAGAACCGCGGACCGGCUCGUUGUGCAAGCACGUACCUGUCGGCGGCGGCGCGGGAGCCGGAGUCUUCUUUCAACAAAAAACAAACCCCGACGCCGUGACAUUUAUCAACACUUCUGCAGCAUACUGUACAUACGGCACGUGCCCGCCCCCCCCGUCAUGUCAUGUCACACGAGAAAGAGAAAAGCGGGGUUGGUCAAGAAACUGGUCCGAGUCCAUCCGAGCAUUCUGCUGAUGUGUAGUUGCGGUUGAUCACGAUUUCCUUGUGAAGAUGUGACUCCGCGGCCUCAGAUCCUCAGACAGGGAGUUUCAGAGCUGACAGGCCCAUGAGUCGGGACUUAGGGACAACCAGCAGUUUCCCACCUGAGGACCUGAGCUUGCACUCCGGCUAUUUAACUAGGAUCAAUAAAGCCCUCACAUUAUAAAACAUCA